CUUUUUCUGCGCACAGUAUAUAUGUACUUUAUAAAAGCUUGUUUACUUAGUUGAUCCGUUAAAUUUAUUCAGAGAUAAGGUUGAGUUACUUGGUUGUUCUGUUUUUAUUACAAUUCAGACAAUAAGCUCGUACAUUUGGACUAUUUCUAGGAUAUAAAUUGUAGAAUUAUUUAUCUUGCCAUUGAUGUGCCUUGCGUUGCUUUAGGGAAUUGAGCUUAUGCUGUUUUUUAGUUAACAUUCUACCAAACUUUGGUUACUGUCUCUUCAACACAUCCAUAUUAAUUAUAUGAAGUUACGUAUAGCAAAAAGUGUUCAAUAAUUCAUUGUCUUGUAGAGAAUCCAUGGGUGGAGGCACGUUGUGGGCUUGCUACUGCUGUCAGCUUCCACCUAUGUAAUGUGCUACAACUUUGCAUCAUUACUACUUUCUGCACACCGGCUGAUUCAUCACAAGUAUGUUUCCUCCCUGUAGUUGGAUAAAAGGUGUAUUCUUUCUAUUUGUUGUUACCAUAUAGUAUUAGCAAGUUAAAUUAAUGAUAUGUGUUUUUAAGACAAAAGAAAAAGGCUUGCAUGUAUUAACUGAAUUUGGUCCAUAUGUGUUAAUUGAUAUGCAAUAGAGUUUUCACAUGUGUUGUAGGUGAUGCAUAUAACACUGGAGCUUUUCUCAUUGUUCUCUUCAACUGAAAAGGCUAGACAGAAGAGCUGUUACCAAGAACAUAAAACUCACUAAAGUGCAUGUCUGAAUUUAAUAGACCUUCCAUAGUAACCAUGAAUGUAAUUAGAAAAUGCAUGCAGGAUCAAAUAUGCAAAUUGUACAUUGAUGACCUAUGGAAAAUAUCUGAACUCGAAUGGAUGAACUUAUGAUUUAGAACAACUCUUACUAACCUUUCAAAUUUCAGAAUUUACGGGAAUCACUUGUCGAAUAUGUCAUCUUCUAGAAAAAUACUCUGCAGACGACACAAUAGCUACUGUUACUUUAGGACUACAAAAUAAUCUAUUAGACUCAUUUUGCAGCGAUAAGAAAUUGCGCAGCUAGAAUUUAUAUGUUUUUAAUUUUAAUGAAGGAUCUGGUUUUGUUAUUUUGCUUUACUCAUACGGACUUGCAUUUUUCUUUUUCUUUUUUAACAUUGUAUGGAAGUUUAUAAUAAUGGUUAAUUUGAACACCUUAGUAUGCAUUUUUUUUUUUGCUUCAAACGGUUCUUCGUGUUUCAGUUAUCUUCAUAUGUUAUUUUAGUUUGUACAACUUCUUUUUUGCGUAUGCCCACCAUUUUCGUUUUUUUGUAGGCUUUCAUGCAUGUUUUAAUCCAUCAGGGAAUACUGAAUUUAGUACUGGAGUAGUUUAUUUUGUGAGAAAAUUCUGUAGCUAAUUUCCGGCAAAAUAUUCUUUACGUAAUGACCCAAUUGUGUGAGAAAUGAAAUAGAGAUAUGAGUCUAGGAGUAAAAAACAGAAAUAGAAAAAACUUAUAUUCGUUUUCAUUCCACGUAAGUCACAACAGGCUGACCAUGGGUCAACGUGGUGCUACCCAUUCCAUUAUGUGUAGAUAGAAAGUAUCCCUUCCUCACUAAUCUCUUCCACUCCUCUCCUCUCCUCCACUGGCUGCCCGACCAUUAUGUGUGGAAAGCAAGUCCCUUCCACUCCUCUCCUCCACUGGCUGUCCGACUUUGAGGACUUUGAGAUGGGAAUACAGAUGGAGAGGGUGUGCCAAAUUGAUGGCCUGCUCGUCCAGAAGGGGAGUGGCUGCACCAAAUUGAGUGGCCUGCCUGUGUAUCACCAAAGCUGGGAAGGAGAUUUUCCGCCAGAUCUGGCCGAGGCUGCGGCACGCGUUCCAGCCACGGGCUCUGCGAGGCCGUGAGGCAAAGCGGUCGCCGGGGAGGCCACUGGCGAAUAUGAGAGACCCAUAGUUUUUAGCUUCCUUGAGUGUCCCUGCUCUCCUAUUCGUGUCAGUGGGCCAAAAGCUGUGCCGUCAGGUUCGACGGCCAUGUUCUCCGCAGCAUUCCUGGCCGUAUGUGGUAGAGGAGUGGGAUGGGUAUGACUGUCUUACUACUCUCCCAUCAUCCGCUGCAUUCCUCUCUUGAUGGGCACAGUAUAUACGUACUUUUAAAGUUCACUUAAUUACUUAGUUGAUCUGUUAAAUCUAUUUAGAUGUAAGGUAGAGUUACCUAGUUUUAUUAAAUUAUAAUUCAUACGCUGACCUGAUACAUUCUGUUGUUGUUCAUGUAAGGAUCUUUUAUAAAUUAUAGUUAUUUAAUUUGCCAUUGAUUUGUGUUGUGGUUUUUAGGGAAUUGAAGCCCAACUUUGACUAUUGUCUCUUCAACACAUCGGUAUCAAUUAUAUGGAAUUUCGUAUAGCAAAAGAUAUAUCUAUGAUAUCCAUCUACUACAUAUAACAUCUAUAUAUUUUUAUAUUUCAUUGUCUUGUCUGCACAUGUUAACAUGUAUAUACAAUAAAUGCAGUGUCAGGAAAUAGUAAUUUGCAUUGGCUUGUGAUUGGUUGAUUUACCUUUGUGGAGAGUCCACAGGUGGAGGCGAGUUGAGGGCUUCCUAAUUGCUACUGCUGUCAGGUUCCACCUAUGUAAUGUGCUACAACUUUGCAUCAUUCUUACUUCCUCCACACCGGCUGUUUCUUCACAGUAAGGCAAAGGAAGAAGGCUUACAUGUAUUAACUGAAUUUGGUUCAUAUGUGUUAAUUGAUAUACAAUAGAUUUUUCACAUGCCAUGAACAUAUAACUCAUGGAAGUGCAUGUCGGAAUGUAUUCCAAAUAAUUAUAAUGUGACAUACUUCUGAUGGUGCCAACAUUUAACCAUUAUCUAAUAAUUGUCCUCCUUAUAUUGAUUCGAUGUCAAGGUUUCUUUCUUUAUCUCAGUACUCAUAAAUGGUUCGGCUUACUUUCAACACAAUUAUUGUAUACUAUUUGACACUUCUCAGAUUUCCCAUCUAGUGAGUUGACCAAUUUUGCUACCAUUGUUAUUACUGCAGAGUAAGUAUAAUAUGGAAGUUCUUGUUCAAAUUAGUAGAAUAUAUGCUUACCGGGUGUUCGAAUUUGUAGAUAUAUACCACAAUUGUCACUACAGAUUAAAUAUAAUAUGAAAGUUCUUGUCAGUUUUCUUUGUAGUUAGUUUGCGAAUCACAACAUGAUCAUUUGAAUAUUUUGUUGUAACAAAUCUAUCAUAGCUAUUGUUGUGAAAGAAAAAUCCUUAAAAAAUCACCCAAUAGCAACCCGAAGAAGUUAAGAGAUAUAAAUAAUUCAGAUAUGGUUCCAUUAUGCUCCCUCUGUUCAAUAAUAUAUGACGUUUUUUGACAGUACACAGUGCCAAAAACGUCUUAUAUUAUGGGAUAGAGGGAAGUUUGUGAUUUUUUUUUCUUAUUCUUGAUUCCACAUGCUUCAUUUGGGUGAAUAAUCCAUUGACAUCCAAAUUUGGAGAUAUUAAUUCACCUAUGUAAUGUGCAUAAUCUAUGACACAUUUUUGCUAUGAUGAAUAUGUAAAUAAAUUCUGUACAGUUCCAUAAAUACACAGUGAUGCAUUUUUGUUGUAAAGAUAAUGUAAAUAACUUUUUAUAGCUUUGCAAAUAAGAUUAACCUUGAUGUAUAAAUCCGAUCAGAGUAUAGGUAGCUAUGCAAUGGUCAUGCGUCACAUCAUUAGUCUAAGGCUCUAACCACAUCCAUGGAGAAUCUAACAUCUCAACCACGCAUAUCUGUUUGUUCCAGAAGCUAUGAAAUUGAGGUAUGCAGAAGAUGAAGAAACCUGAGAACUAAUGAUCCAAAGAAGAGUCGGAGCUCGAGCAUCACAUAGCCGUCAACUAUGGUGGCUUGUGGGCAGAUGUGUCUCAGACCGAAGUUGUUGCCGCUGGACCGUGGUUACAUGCAUCCUAGCUCUUGGAGGCAGCGGUGCGGGGAGAUAUGCAUGUGCAAGGAAAAGAAGUGGGCGAAGGCCGAAGAAGCAAUCUAUGCCUCCCUAGCGCUGGGUCCUGCUCCUCAAUAGGUCACCUUAGUCAUGGCUGCCUUAUCCCUCAUGCUGCUGAUUUGAACCUGCCCUACUCUCCUAGGCUGCUCGAGGGCUUCAGCGCGUGCCUUGCCGACAACAGGGAAGGAAGAAUCAGAAGUGACGGCUAGAGCGCUAGGAAAUUGAAAACCAUAGCAAUUGGUCUUCUCUAUAAAACGUGUGUGCAAGGGACGUGGAACCUGCUUCAGGGAAGAAGAGAUGGAUCACUUGAGAGAAGAGACCAGCUUUGAUCCUUUAUCGGUCAGACAAUUUUUUUUUGUUUUUUUUGCUAAUUGCCUAGUCCAUAUUGUCCAUGUAUUGGAAGCAUGUAAACGUGUGGCUCCUGGAGUUUGUAGGGAAACCUGCUAUAUUGCUUUUGGAUAUGUGUAAGGGCUUUGAUUUUUAUUUUCCCUUUUUUGCUUUCCAAUUCGGACAUGCAUCAGUUCAUACGUGAUUGUAUAUUGGACUCAAACAAUACGUGUCCAUGUAGUCCUUCCUGUGCGCGCUAGUGUUAUGGUUCUAUGCAUCUAAUAUGACAUCAUAAAAGUUCAAUACUGCUGGUAAAUAUAUUUUUACAUGUUACGUAGAAACUUUAAAUCUCGACCGUUGUUAUUCUAAUCAAACGGUGUAAAAAAGAUUAGCAUAUGUGGAC
Molecule: long non-coding RNA, 4630 nt
Filed under: Triticum aestivum (bread wheat)
Lineage: Eukaryota; Viridiplantae; Streptophyta; Magnoliopsida; Poales; Poaceae
Description: long non-coding RNA (TAES_LNC026035)
Source: RNAcentral